GUGCUCGCUUCGGCAGCACAUAUACUAAAAUUGGAAUGAUCACCACAGAGAUUAGCAUGGCCCCCGUGCAAGGAUGACACGCAAAUUCGAGAAGUGUUCCAUAUUUUU
Molecule: small nuclear RNA, 108 nt
Filed under: Dasypus novemcinctus (nine-banded armadillo)
Lineage: Eukaryota; Metazoa; Chordata; Mammalia; Cingulata; Dasypodidae
Source: RNAcentral